UACGGAGGAUGCGAGCGUUAUCCGGAUUUAUUGGGUUUAAAGGGAGCGCAGACGGUAUGUUAAGUCAGCUGUGAAAGUUCGGGGCUCAACCUUGAAAUUGCAGUUGAAACUGGCGUACUUGAGUGCGGUUGAGGUAUGCGGAAUUCGUGGUGUAGCGGUGAAAUGCUUAGAUAUCACGAAGAACUCCGAUUGCGAAGGCAGCAUACUAAGCCGUAACUGACGUUCAUGCUCGAAAGUGUGGGUAUCAAACAGG
This 253-nucleotide ribosomal RNA is filed under the name Phocaeicola plebeius DSM 17135. RNAcentral describes it as "partial 16S ribosomal RNA". It matches the Rfam family "Bacterial small subunit ribosomal RNA", at positions 524 to 776 of the family's 1533-position model. Lineage: Bacteria; Pseudomonadati; Bacteroidota; Bacteroidia; Bacteroidales; Bacteroidaceae. The record is from RNAcentral.